GACGAACGCUGGCGGCGCGCUUAACACAUGCAAGUCGAACGGAAAGGCCUGCUUUCCCUUGUGGAUUGCGGGUACUCGAGUGGCGAACGGGUGAGUAACACGUGAGUGAUCUGCCCCCAACUUGGGUAUAAGCCUGGGAAACUGGGUCUAAUUCCCGAUAGGACUGCAGGGUGGUGCCUGUGGUGGAAUACGAUUUUCUAGUGGUUGGGGAUGAGCUCGCGGCCUAUCAGCUUGGUGGUGGGGUAAUGGCCUACCAAGGCGGCGACGGGUAGCCGGCCUGAGAGGGGGGACAGUCACAUUGAGACAGGGACACGGCCCAGACUCGUACGGGAGGCAGCAGUGGGGAAUAUUGGAGAAUGGGCGGAAGCCUGAGGCAGCGACGCUGUGUGGGGGAUGACGGGAUUCGGGUUGUAAACUCCUUUCGACCGAGAGGAAGCCACCUGGUUGGAAGGGUGGUGACGGUAGUGGCAGAAGAAGCACCGGCUAACUACGUG
This 494-nucleotide ribosomal RNA is filed under the name uncultured bacterium. Its description in RNAcentral is "partial 16S ribosomal RNA". It matches the Rfam family "Bacterial small subunit ribosomal RNA", at positions 28 to 507 of the family's 1533-position model. The record is from RNAcentral.